RNAcentral lists this long non-coding RNA (2386 nucleotides) under Homo sapiens (human). RNAcentral describes it as "HSALNT0279925". The record is from RNAcentral. Lineage: Eukaryota; Metazoa; Chordata; Mammalia; Primates; Hominidae.
CUUCUCUACAAAAUAUUUAAAACAUUAGCCAGAAAGAACAUUACAUGGCAUUUCCUACUGAAGAUGGGACUUAGCACAAAAACCAUCAUGGAUUCCAUCAAAGAGAUCAUUAAUGUCUCAAAACGUCUCCAAGGAUACAUGAUCUACAAAGGACCACAGAGUGCCCUGCAGAAUUGGGUUGAAAAACUAAAGAAGGCAAACAGAGUUUAUGGUAAGGCGGCAGUCUCUGGUCCCCGUUGUGAGAUUGGGUUCUUCCUGCCUGUUCCUGGAGUGGCAUGGAGAAAAGAGCAUGGAUUUGCAGAAGAGACACUUGAGAGAGAGAUACAACAAAGCUUUAAAGCACGAAAAAGAUGAACUCGAAACACCAGUGACUGGAGGAACCAUGACAACACAAACAAGAAGGAAACAAGAAAGAAAAAGCAUAAUCCUGGUUUUUGUGUUCUGAAUUGUGGAUUUGAAAUGGAGGCUCCCGUGGCUGCUGACAGCCUGCCUUGAUGCUGCUGAUGUCUGGGUGAUGAACAGUCAUGGGUUUCCUCCCACCUGCCUCUGUGGAUUAAUGAAGAGCAAGGCAGGAAUGGCAGACCUGCCAUCUGGAAUGACCUUACCUGAUAAGAUUGUUCUGCCUUCCCCGCCAAAGGAGCCCACUCCAUUAUGAAAAAGAACUUCAAGCAAAUUUGAAUCUUUCUUCACUGAGUUCUAACAUACUCCAGACCUGUAUUGUGGAAGCUCUUCCUAAAGUCCAUUUGUGUGGAAUGACUGCGCUGCUAUAUCCCAUCGUGGGCAAAGGAUACCUGCUAUGAAGGGCGAACUGGCAUCAAGCCUAAGUCUUCAUUAAGAGCAAGAACCACAACAUUUGGAGAUUACCAACAUGGUUUUCAGCCCUCAGCUUUGGCGAGACUUCUUCCUUUUCAUUCUUUUCUGGGCAAAUCUAAACCUUUGGAGAAGUAGAUGAGUGAAGUCAAUUGCAAAGGGACUGGAUCUCUCUCUAUCACCCAGACUGGAGUGCAGUGGCACAAUCGUGGCUCACUGCAGUCUUGAACUCCUGGCCUCAAGAGAUCUUCCUGCCUCAGCCUCCUGAAUGGUUGCGACUACAGGGACAGGGGAAUAAAAAUGUGAUGCAUUGGAGGAGAAUCACAGGACUCAACAAAUAAACCUUGAGAUGUCAUUGUCACCUGUGUGUACUUUAUGAGAAUACACGUAGAGAUUAACCCUUUCCUGGAAAAUGAACGUCUAUUGCUUCUUUUGGGGACAGCAUGCUUUAUAGUUAGGACAUUCUUCUUUAUAUCCAGCCUGACUUCUUCAUGCUGUACUAGCCUUCCAAUCCUUAACUAAAAAUUUUUUAAAAAUGAAUAAACACUGGGCAAUGUGUUCUAUGGGCUCUUUAAAAUACUAUGAGACUGUAGUAAAAACAUCACAACACAAAUGGCAAAGUAGUGAAGAAUGGUGCUGAUAUGGUUUGGCUGUGUCUCCACCCAAAUCUCAUCUUGAAUUCCCAUAAUCCCCAUGUAUCCUGGGAGGAACCCAAUGGGAGAUAAUUGAAUCAUGGGGACGGUUACCCUCAUGCUGCUGUUCUCAUGAUAGUGAGUGAGUUCUCAUGAGCUCUCAUGGUUUUAUAAGGGGUUUUUCACCCUGUUGUUCAGCACUUCUCCUUUCUGCUGCCAUGUGAAAAAGGAUAUGCUUGCUUCCCCUUCCGCCAUGAAUGCAAGUUUCCUGAGGCCUCCUCAGCCAUCUGAACCGUGAGUUAAUUAAACCUCUUUCCUUUAUAAGUUACCCAGUCUCAGAUAACGUCUUUAUUAGCAGUGUGAGAACAGACCAAUACAGAUGCUGUGCUAAGUUUUCUGAUUUUACCACCUCUUCUAGAACAUGCUAGAACCAGUCCACAUCAAAUUUUCCCUUAAGGCACAAACUGCUUCCUUCUGUUUUGUAGCCAAACAAUACAGUACAUUUGUGGACCCACAAUGAAUAUCCAUAAAUCCUCACAGAAUGAGUGAGUCAGCGAAUCAAUGAACCAUUACUUCCUGAAUUCAAUACAAAGCACUUCAGACAAUGAAACCAAAAUCUCCAUCUCUCAUCUCUUUCAAUUCCCAUUCUAAUAAGGAAAGAAAACAUAAACAUGCAGUGAGUUCUCAGUUAAUGAAUUAUUUCUAGAUUGAACUACAAGAAAUUGCCACUUUGGUUUAUAGGUCAAAAACAGUUGAAUAUCAGCUGUAUGCUAAUAUUUGCAGUCUUUGGCUGAUAUUUGGGAAUUUCUUCUUUUCUUUAGCAACAUCAGAAAAAAGUGCCUUAAGAUGAGUUAGAGAUAUGUAAAUAGCAUCUCAUUCUGGGAAAAUAGCUAAGCAAAAAUCAGAAAGGAUGCCAAAAUGCUCAGUUUGGGUGUGCACUCUUU